AAUGACUGAGUUAAAUAAUAACUGAGUGGACUUUAUUUUAAUUUGCCAUUGUUCGUGAAGACAGUCAUUAGUUUUAAAUGUGAUUAGACAACCCUCCACAGAAGCCUUUGGGAACAAAAUUAAAUUUUGUAGAGACAGGGAGUCUCACUUUGUUACCCAGGCUGGUCUCAAAUUACUGGGCUCAAGCAAUCCUCCUGCUUCAGCCUCUCAAAGUGCCAGGAUUACAGGUAUGAGCCACCAAGUCCUACCAGAAUUUGCAUUUUGGAGUAUGCACCAUUAAACAGUUUAACUCUUCAGUUGAUCUCUUUUUAAAAAUCAAUUGUUCAGCAUCUGUGGAAUCUGAUUGUGAUGUGGUCAGGGACAGAAUGGGACUAAAAUGAGAAUAACCAUGCCAGACUCUUCAGGACACAACCUGGCUAUGGGAGGCUGAUUGUGUUUGCAUGGAGACACUAACUCCAAGUGGAUGGAUGACACCACUGGGACACUGUUGCUCAUGGACCACAGACAGUGGCGCUGGGACACCAAUGCUCAGACUAUAGAUGGUGGUGAUGGGACACCAUUGCUCAUGGACUGCAGACAGUGCUACGAGGACACCGAUGCUCAUGGACUACAGAUGCUGCUCUGAAGUGCUCUGCACUUUACUUUUCUCUAGUUCAUUUCCAAACGGGCCAAUUUCAAAAUUAUAAUUGAAAAGAGUAACUUGAAAACAGAUACUCCCAGCCAUGCCCUUGCCUCAAGACAUCUGCCGUCUCCCUGGCCUCUGAGGCAGGGUGGGAAGACACCGCCACCCCAUUCCAUAGGUGAAGAGCUCUUUCAUGGGGUACAUGCGCAUCCCACUCCUUGCUCGGCUCAGCACAAGCUCAGCAUUGCCAGAGAGAAAAACUGGAAGACAGAGACAAACAAAACAACAACUGGUAGGUGGGUGCUUGUGAUAAGUUAAAGAUAGGAAACCAGGGAACGCUGUGGGCUGCCACCCCAGGGGCUUGGUCGCCACCAAGAGUGAAGGAGGAACAACAGGGAGAGGAUAUGCACCAGAGUCCCCAUCGCCAGCCUAAGCAGGAGCACAGGAGCAACAGCGUUUGAUGCUUUCCUACAAGAGGCUGAAGAAGGAAACAAGUUGCUGAGGUUUUGAAGAAUCGUGGGUCGCAUUUCCUUGGAUCAGCUAAGCCCCGAACAGAUCCCUAAAGCAACUGGGCUUCUGGUCCUAUUUCACCUUCAAAGAGAAUCAAUCCUACCCUUCCAUCCUGAACAGUCUUCUAGGCUCAAGCACUCUGAAUUUUCCUAUCGUGGCUGGAGCUAUCGAUUUGGUGCUAGUCUCACUCUCUUUGUCAACCUCUCUUGUGCAUUUAUUAAUACAAACUUAUUAUUUUUUCCUAACUUAGUUUUUAACGUGAUUACAUUCACAGAUUUUUUAAAAGUUGAUCUGCUCUUGAAUUCCUGGUUUUAUUCUAUGUAAUUAUCAGUAUUUUUUUUCAGAAAUGGUCUCUUUUUAUUUGAAUGGUUGAUCUAGGACUCAGCCUAAAUAUUAUUCUAAUACGUAGCUGUACAUAACCAACAUGUCUAUGAUGUUAGUGAUGAACCAGAACCAACACAGAGAUGGUCUUUGCCUGAUAAAAGAUAAUCACAAUCCGAAAUAAAAUUACUAGGUAAAAUACAGGAUGCCUAGUUAAAUUUGAGUAUCAGAUAAACAAUGAAACAUUUUUAGUUACAUGUCCCAUGUAAUAUUUGUACUAAAUACUUAUACUAAAUUGUAAAGGACAUACUUAUACUAAAUUGUAAAGGACAUCCUUAUACUAAAGGAAAGCAUUGCUUAUCUGAAAUUCACAUUUAACUGGUUGUCCUAUAUUUUUAUUUGUUAAAUGUGGCAAUCUUAAUCAUAAACAAAUAAGCAAACAAGUAUAAGUCUUAGAAAAGAAUAAAUCAAUUUUUAAAUGAAUGCAUUUAGUGUUGUCAGGGAAUAAUUACAAUAUGUCAGCAAACCUUGGCAACCAUUGGAAUCCCGUUUCUGAAAAUUACAGUGUAGUGUGAAGUAGAAAAUAACAACGAUGGUUUUAACUCAUAUGAAACAUAGAAAAAAUUCAGAAACAAACUAGAUUUAUUGGUUUUAAGGAAAAGAAGCCAGAACAACUACCAGAAUACUGUUCUGUUAGGUAACUCUUCUUUUAACCACCUUCUUUAAUUACUCAGGAAAUAUUUCUGUGUUUUCCUCAACAACUGGAGUAGAUUUUCCCAUGAGUUUUAUGUUACACAAAGUUUAGUUAUUUUUAAAGUUAUCAAAUCAGCUCUUACUGGCUUGAAGUUAAGUAUCCAUGGAACUUGUAUUUCCUUUGUUUUCCUUUCAAAUGUCUCCCCAAAAUGCUUGUAACUGUGUAUCCUUUCUGUAAAUAAUUUUGCCACUUAUUGUGUAU
RNAcentral lists this long non-coding RNA (2408 nucleotides) under Homo sapiens (human). Its description in RNAcentral is "HSALNT0322985". The record is from RNAcentral. Lineage: Eukaryota; Metazoa; Chordata; Mammalia; Primates; Hominidae.